CAGUCGCCACGGUAAUACGAAGGGUGCAAGCGUUAAUCGGAAUUACUGGGCGUAAAGCGUGCGUAGGCGGUGAGUUAAGUCUGCUGUGAAAUCCCCGGGCUCAACCUGGGAAUGGCAGUGGAUACUGGCUCGCUAGAGUGUGUCAGAGGAUGGUGGAAUUCCCGGUGUAGCGGUGAAACGCGUAGAGAUCGGGAGGAACAUCGGUGGCGAAGGCGGCCAUCUGGGACAACACUGACGCUGAGGCACGAAAGCGUGGGGAGCAAACAGGAUUAGAUACCCGCGUAGUCCCUGUCUCUUAUAC
Molecule: ribosomal RNA, 301 nt
Filed under: uncultured bacterium
Lineage: Bacteria
Description: partial 16S ribosomal RNA
Rfam family: Bacterial small subunit ribosomal RNA
Source: RNAcentral